Molecule: long non-coding RNA, 143 nt
Organism: Haliotis rubra (blacklip abalone)
Lineage: Eukaryota; Metazoa; Mollusca; Gastropoda; Lepetellida; Haliotidae
Exons: 3
Source: RefSeq, a predicted model, not a curated record
CUCUUUGAAUAGUAUACAAUCAACAUUCAAGGAAGUAAUGAAAAAUAUUCUCACAUCCAUGGCCACGUUGACAUGAUGCGUAAUUUGUUUGCAUAUUUAUUCUAAAUAAUUCAUAAUUAAGCGUAUUUACCAUUAGACAUGGG